Phasianus colchicus (ring-necked pheasant) is the source of this 1780-nucleotide long non-coding RNA. The record is from Ensembl. NCBI's taxonomy places the organism in Eukaryota, Metazoa, Chordata, Aves, Galliformes, Phasianidae.
ACAUAACUACAGUCUAUUAAGAAGUACAGGAAAGAUUCAUCACCUUUAUUGACAUAUGGGAUAAAGGAAGAAUUUGACUCUGCAUAUGGAAAAAGCUGUCAGUUUUGAAUUCAUUUCUAAAUUCAGGCAGAUGCAGAAGUGUUUCCUGUUGCACAGGAAAAGCAGGCAUAUAGACUGUCAGUAACAUAUUUUUCACAAAGCACACAGAUGUAAUCUCAGCUCUGGAAUAGGUGUUUCUUUGGCUUAUUCAAUAGGAAGGGUAAGCGCCUAAAAAAGACCUGAAAAAGCCAUUCUAUUUUGAAAUAAUAGAAUAAUCAGAACAUUAAAAUUUGAUGGAUUAGAAAUCCACUUGAAUUAACAAGUAGCUAAUAAAAUUAGAGAUGGCUGAUGCUUUAGUGUGCGUAAAUGCUAUUUGUGUUUUCCAGACUGGGAUUUGACAGUGAACAAAAUCUGUCUCUUAGAAAUCAAGAGUAUUCAGAAUAACUCACAAAGCAAUCAGAAAGAUCCUUCCAAAGGAUCACUUCUCAUGUAACUGCACCUGUACAGGAUGGCUUCUUACUGACAUAACUGUCUAAUAGUCACCGUUCAUAUCAGUGUGGAUCUGAAUUUUGAAAUUCUUACUCAUGCCUUUACUAAGCUGGGUUUCUUACAGCAGUUAAUCUUGUUUGCAAUGACGUUAAUAUUUUACUAGGGCUUCAAUUCAACAUGUUUUACAACAGACAUCCUUCAGUCUUGACUGCGCAAGCGGCGCUGUUCUAACAUCUGUGCUCCAGCUUGCAUGCACGUUGCUGCAUCCUGUAGGCAGCUCCAAGAAAAAAGUUGGUGAGCUCUGUGCCUCCUCCUUGCACUUUCACCACUUGCCCCUGGCAGCCUGCUGUGUGCUGCACCUGUCCGGAGGAAGGCAGCAACCACAAAGCCACAGGGAAACACGGUGCAUUAAACCCAGCUGAAUGUGAGUGACUCAGCCCAUGGUCUUGAAUCACUUUUUUAAACUGCGAUGAUUUUGAGGAAACCCCAAUGGAACAGAAGCAAGAAAUUCCUGGCAAUCAGUGAAGCAGUAACAGUUCAUGGAGCUGCCCUUCACAAACCUGGAAGUAGCUUUCAUCUUACUGGCUUUUGUCAUAUUCUCCUUGUUCACCUUGGCAUCUAUCUACAGUGACCCCCAUGGCAAGGAAGAAGGUAAAUGAAAUAAUCUAAAAUGAAUACAGUACUUUGCAUUUUUUAACUAAUGGUUGAUUUACAUAGGUUUUGUGUUUGAUCAGGAUGGUAGACUUAUAGUACACAACACUUUACCUUUAGGAAUACUGUCCAAAGGGCAGAAUGCAACGAGGAAAGCUACUGAUAAAAGCCACAAACACAGAAAUUGUGCUAAGGUGUAAGACCAAGAACUGUUACAGCUCUGUAUGCUGACCAAGCUAUGUCAGACUGCUGAGAGCAGUUCUGUAAGAAACCUCUCAAUGAAUAAGUGCUUGUUCUCUGCAAGGGAAGCCUUUUUUUCCUAGCAACAGCUCUGCUUCAUGUUCUGAGGUGCUAUAAAACAUUCAGGCUGGCGUAACUGGGGAUGUUCUUGUAAUGAAGGUAAAUGUUUGUCUUCAAUAGUCUGAGGCCAAGUCUUCACUCUCUUUUGUGAGCACAAAAACACUCGUAGGGGUUGCCUUUCUCCCAUUCAGAAGGUUUUCAAAUCCAAGGGGAAAAAUCACCCCAAUCCCAUGCUAGAUCUACAAAGGAGCAUUAACAUAACCUUACACCAUCAGCAGAGAAUUCCCUUGUAGCAGGCCUA